Non-coding RNA from Myotis lucifugus (little brown bat), 74 nucleotides. The record is from Rfam. Lineage: Eukaryota; Metazoa; Chordata; Mammalia; Chiroptera; Vespertilionidae.
GGCAGUUCUUGGUGAUGCACCCUGGAACCGGCCUCCUCCUCUCUGGUUCUUGGUGCGUCACCCCAAGAACCACA